This 253-nucleotide long non-coding RNA is filed under the name Actinidia chinensis (golden kiwifruit). Its description in RNAcentral is "long non-coding RNA (ACHI_LNC009533)". The record is from RNAcentral. Lineage: Eukaryota; Viridiplantae; Streptophyta; Magnoliopsida; Ericales; Actinidiaceae.
GACGGCAGAGCCGAUACGACUCGCCGGAUUCGUGAUCGACAUGUUCUGCACUUCCAUGAUGGAUGUCGCAGACGAGUUCGGCCUCCCCACCUACGUCUUCUUCACCUCCAGCGCCGCCUUUCUCGGCCUUGUGCUUCAUCACCACCGCCUCGACGUCUCCGACAUAAAAAACAACCACCUGGACGCCGAGCUGUCCGUUGCAGCUUUCGCCAACCCCUUCCCCGUGAAACUCUUGCCUACCGUGUUUCUCGAC